This 620-nucleotide ribosomal RNA is filed under the name Leuconostoc lactis. RNAcentral describes it as "bacterial SSU rRNA". It matches the Rfam family "Bacterial small subunit ribosomal RNA", at positions 77 to 682 of the family's 1533-position model. Lineage: Bacteria; Bacillati; Bacillota; Bacilli; Lactobacillales; Lactobacillaceae. The record is from RNAcentral.
UGCUUGCACCUUUCAAGCGAGUGGCGAACGGGUGAGUAACACGUGGAUAACCUGCCUCAAGGCUGGGGAUAACAUUUGGAAACAGAUGCUAAUACCGAAUAAAACUUAGUAUCGCAUGAUACAAAGUUGAAAGGCGCUACGGCGUCACCUAGAGAUGGGUCCGCGGUGCAUUAGUUAGUUGGUGGGGUAAAGGCCUACCAAGACAAUGAUGCAUAGCCGAGUUGAGAGACUGAUCGGCCACAUUGGGACUGAGACACGGCCCAAACUCCUACGGGAGGCUGCAGUAGGGAAUCUUCCACAAUGGGCGAAAGCCUGAUGGAGCAACGCCGCGUGUGUGAUGAAGGCUUUAGGGUCGUAAAGCACUGUUGUAUGGGAAGAAAUGCUAGAAUAGGGAAUGAUUCUAGUUCGACGGUACCAUACCAGAAAGGGACGGCUAAAUACGUGCCAGCAGCCGCGGUAAUACGUAUGUCCCGAGCGUUAUCCGGAUUUAUUGGGCGUAAAGCGAGCGCAGACGGUUGAUUAAGUCUGAUGUGAAAGCCCGGAGCUCAACUCCGGAAUGGCAUUGGAAACUGGUUAACUUGAGUGUUGUAGAGGUAAGUGGAACUCCUUGGUGAAACGGU